GUGGGGAAUAUUGGACAAUGGGCGCAAGCCUGAUCCAGCCAUGCCGCGUGAGUGAUGAAGGCCUUAGGGUUGUAAAGCUCUUUCACCGAUGAAGAUAAUGACGGUAGUCGGAGAAGAAGCCCCGGCUAACUUCGUGCCAGCAGCCGCGGUAAUACGAAGGGGGCUAGCGUUGUUCGGAUUUACUGGGCGUAAAGCGCACGUAGGCGGUUUGUUAAGUCAGGGGUGAAAUCCCGGAGCUCAACUCCGGAACUGCCUUUGAUACUGGCAAACUAGAGUCCGGAAGAGGUAAGUGGAACUCCUAGUGUAGAGGUGGAAUUCGUAGAUAUUAGGAAGAACACCAGUGGCGAAGGCGGCUUACUGGUCCGGAACUGACGCUGAGGUGCGAAAGCGUGGGGAGCAAACAGGAUUAGAAACCCUUGUAGUCC
This 425-nucleotide ribosomal RNA is filed under the name uncultured bacterium. Its description in RNAcentral is "partial 16S ribosomal RNA". It matches the Rfam family "Bacterial small subunit ribosomal RNA", at positions 354 to 796 of the family's 1533-position model. The record is from RNAcentral.